UGGGGAAUAUUGCACAAUGGGCGCAAGCCUGAUGCAGCCAUGCCGCGUGUAUGAAGAAGGCCUUCGGGUUGUAAAGUACUUUCAGCGGGGAGGAAGGGAGUAAAGUUAAUACCUUUGCUCAUUGACGUUACCCGCAGAAGAAGCACCGGCUAACUCCGUGCCAGCAGCCGCGGUAAUACGGAGGGUGCAAGCGUUAAUCGGAAUUACUGGGCGUAAAGCGCACGCAGGCGGUUUGUUAGGUCAGAUGUGAAAUCCCCGGGCUCAACCUGGGAACUGCAUCUGAUACUGGCAAGCUUGAGUCUCGUAGAGGGGGGUAGAAUUCCAGGUGUAGCGGUGAAAUGCGUAGAGAUCUGGAGGAAUACCGGUGGCGAAGGCGGCCCCCUGGACGAAGACUGACGCUCAGGUGCGAAAGCGUGGGGAGCAAACAGG
This 429-nucleotide ribosomal RNA is filed under the name Chloroflexota bacterium. RNAcentral describes it as "Chloroflexi bacterium partial 16S ribosomal RNA". It matches the Rfam family "Bacterial small subunit ribosomal RNA", at positions 355 to 776 of the family's 1533-position model. Lineage: Bacteria; Bacillati; Chloroflexota. The record is from RNAcentral.